This is a long non-coding RNA of Centropristis striata (black sea bass), 396 nucleotides long. RefSeq lists it as uncharacterized. The record is from RefSeq and is a predicted model, not a curated record. Lineage: Eukaryota; Metazoa; Chordata; Actinopteri; Perciformes; Serranidae. The transcript is spliced from 3 exons.
GUGUGGGUAUGGUAUUUAAAAUAUCUUUCAAUGCCUAGCUUCGACAUUUCUGCGUCGCCCUGUUGGCUGUCUUACCUGGAGUUGAACUGGAAGUUGAUAUCAGUUUUACCUCCGGUUUUUUUUUUCCAGUGAAGACUCUUUGAGGAGAUGACGAGCGUUAGCUUCCACCAUGAGAGGAGAAAUUCACCUUCGAAAAAAAAAAUAAAAAAAGUAACUCUGAUGUCCGCCUCCGGAAUAUUUCCCAGCUCAGGAAAAGGGGCCAUCGUUGGAGUACGUGAACGCACCAUUGGCCUUGGCGGAGGUCUGCUCCCUUUGAGUGCCAUCCUGGUUUGGAAUAGUGUCUCUGGCCUCCAGUCUUGUAAAGCAGCAGCUGGAGAGGGCUGUCCCCCGAGAACC